This 358-nucleotide transfer-messenger RNA is filed under the name Bdellovibrionales bacterium GWA1_52_35. It matches the Rfam family "transfer-messenger RNA". Rfam says of the family: Bacterial tmRNA, also known as 10Sa RNA or SsrA, is named for its dual tRNA and mRNA-like properties. Its role is to liberate the mRNA from a stalled ribosome. Lineage: Bacteria; Pseudomonadati; Bdellovibrionota; Bdellovibrionia; Bdellovibrionales. The record is from RNAcentral. RNAcentral also lists the same sequence under 4 other names.
GGGGACGAUACGGCUUCGACGGGAGUAUUGACGUCCCAGAUGCAUGUCGAGGUGCCAUAGGCCUCGUAAAAAAAUGGCAACUAGUAAUUGGCAACGAUUACGCACUCGCAGCUUAAUUAAUUCGUUAAUCUAAGCUACGCGUUCUACCCGGUUUCGCCCACGGAUUGGGAUAGAACGUCAUUUAGUGGGCUAGCCUUUCAGGUAUCGCAGGCGCCUGAGAGGCGAACCAAUGGUCGGCGGAGGGUCAGCGUAGUUUGUUCGUGGACGCCACUGACUCAAUCAAAAACACGAAACACACAUGUAGAUUCUGGCGAUUGAUUGCUUUCGGACGCGGGUUCAACUCCCGCCGUCUCCACCA